Molecule: ribosomal RNA, 813 nt
Filed under: uncultured bacterium
Lineage: Bacteria
Description: bacterial SSU rRNA
Rfam family: Bacterial small subunit ribosomal RNA
Source: RNAcentral
UCGACGGAACUCUGUGUUUAGGUUUCGGCCAAGAAGACAGGAUGUUUAGUGGCGGACGGGUGAGUAACGCGUGAGUAACCUGCCUUGGAGUGGGGAAUAACACAGUGAAAACUGUGCUAAUACCGCAUAAUGCAUUUGGGUCGCAUGAUUCUGAAUGCCAAAGAUUUAUCGCUUUGAGAUGGACUCGCGUCUGAUUAGCUAGUUGGCGGGGUAACGGCCCACCAAGGCGACGAUCAGUAGCCGGACUGAGAGGUUGGCCGGCCACAUUGGAACUGAGACACGGCCCAGACUCCUACGGGAGGCAGCAGUGGGGAAUAUUGGGCAAUGGGCGCAAGCCUGACCCAGCAACGCCGCGUGAAGGAAGAAGGCUUUCGGGUUGUAAACUUCUUUUGUCGGGGACGAAGCAAGUGACGGUACCUGACGAAUAAGCCACGGCUAACUACGUGCCAGCAGCCGCGGUAAUACGUAGGUGGCAAGCGUUAUCCGGAUUUACUGGGUGUAAAGGGCGUGUAGGCGGGAAAGCAAGUCAGAUGUGAAAACUGUGGGCUCAACCCACAGCCUGCAUUUGAAACUGUUUUUCUUGAGUACUGGAGAGGCAGAUGGAAUUCCUAGUGUAGCGGUGAAAUGCGUAGAUAUUAGGAGGAACACCAGUGGCGAAGGCGAUCUGCUGGACAGCAACUGACGCUGAGGCGCGAAAGCGUGGGGAGCAAACAGGAUUAGAUACCCUGGUAGUCCACGCUGUAAACGAUGGAUACUAGGUGUGGGGGGUCUGACCCCCUCCGUGCCGCAGUUAACACAAUAAGUAUCCCACCU